GGGGUAGAGCUCAGUUAGUAGAGUGCUUCCUCGCAUGCACAAGGUCCUGGGUUCAAUCCCCAGCACCUCA
RNAcentral lists this transfer RNA (70 nucleotides) under Marmota monax (woodchuck). Its description in RNAcentral is "tRNA.Ala". Lineage: Eukaryota; Metazoa; Chordata; Mammalia; Rodentia; Sciuridae. The record is from RNAcentral.